Molecule: ribosomal RNA, 496 nt
Filed under: uncultured bacterium
Lineage: Bacteria
Description: partial 16S ribosomal RNA
Rfam family: Bacterial small subunit ribosomal RNA
Source: RNAcentral
GAUGAACGCUGGCGGCGUGCCUAAUACAUGCAAGUCGAGCGAACAGACGAGGAGCUUGCUCCUCUGACGUUAGCGGCGGACGGGUGAGUAACACGUGGAUAACCUACCUAUAAGACUGGGAUAACUUCGGGAAACCGGAGCUAAUACCGGAUAACAUGUUGAACCGCAUGGUUCAACAGUGAAAGACGGUCUUGCUGUCACUUAUAGAUGGAUCCGCGCCGCAUUAGCUAGUUGGUAAGGUACGGCUUACCAAGGCAACGAUGCGUAGCCGACCUGAGAGGGUGAUCGGCCACACUGGAACUGAGGCACGGUCCAGACUCCUACGGGAGGCAGCAGUAGGGAAUCUUCCGCAAUGGGCGAAAGCCUGACGGAGCAACGCCGCGUGAGUGAAGAAGGUCUUCGGAUCGUAAAACUCUGUUAUUAGGGAAGAACAAAUGUGUAAGUAACUAUGCACGUCUUGACGGUACCUAAUCAGAAAGCCACGGCUAACUACGUG